This 2545-nucleotide long non-coding RNA is filed under the name Callithrix jacchus (white-tufted-ear marmoset). RNAcentral's name for it is "lncRNA (ENSCJAG00000071554.1)". Lineage: Eukaryota; Metazoa; Chordata; Mammalia; Primates; Cebidae. The record is from RNAcentral.
AGAAUGUUAUUUCCAUUUUUGAGUGACACACGACUUAUGUUUUUACACUGAGUGUUUUCAUCUUUGACAACUCAUGUAAUGUUUUCAAUAACCCUGAUAAAGUAGCUAGUGACAUGUUGUUAUGAAUUGAAUUGCAUCCCCUUCAACAAAGACAUAUUGAAGUCUUAACCCCCAGUACUUCAGCAAUUGACCUUAUUUGGAACCUGUGUCAUUACAGCUGUAGUUAGUUGAGACCAUACUUAGUCCAAUAUGACUGGCAUCCUUAUAAGAUGUCCAUAUGAAGACAGAAACACCCAGAGAGAAUGCCAUGUGACAAUGAAGGCUGAGAUUGAAGUUGUGCAGCUGCAAUCCAAGAAACACUGAACACUGCCAUCAAAUCACCAGAAACUAAGGAGAAAAAAGGAAGGAUUUUCCCUACAGGUUUAAGAGAGAGCAUGGCCCAACUGCUACCUUUGUUUCAGACUUGUAGUCUCUGGAACUAUGAGACAAAAAAAAAUUUUUUUUUUUGAGACGGAGUUUCGCUCUUGUUACCCAGGCUGGAGUGCAAUGGCGCGAUCUCGGCUCACUGCAAUCUCCGCCUCCUGGGCUCAGGCAAUUCUCCUGCCUCAGCCUCCUGAGUAGCUGGGAUUACAGGCACGUGCCACCGUGCCCAGCUAAUUUUUUGUAUUUUCAGUAGAGACGGGGUUUCACCAUGUUAACCAGGAUGGUCUCCAUCUCUUGACCUCGUGAUCCACCCGCCUCGGCCUCCCAAAGUGCUGGGAUUACAGGCGUGAGACACCGCGCCAGGCCUGAAGAUUAUAUUUUUUAUUUCACCAUCUAGCAGCUUCAAUGGCCACAAAUCUUUUUCCAGAUUUGUCUGAAAUAUUCAGACUUUUUAUACUGAUGAAAGUUCCUUUGACAUACAGUCUUUGGCCAAGCUAUAACAAAUCAACUAAAGUGUGAUUUUUAUAUCCUACUGUCGCCAAGACAGCAUGCUGCUGGUUACACAGCACAGGAUGCUAACCAUUCUACAUACAAUUGUCUGGGCACAGGCCAGGACAACUGACAAUUCCUGUCUCUAGUUAAAUGCUAAGCUGCUUCUAGGUCACAGGAGGUCAGAGGACGUUCCCAAAGGACUUUCCUGUUUAGACUUAUUGGAGAAUAUCAGACUAGCUCCAACUCCAGUUUAGGAGUUUAGCUGGUAUCUCCGAAGUCUCAUGUAUAUUCAAAAUGUUUGGGCACUGCUCUUGCACCAAUAGAUGAAGGUCUAGCUCCACCUCUUACUUCCUCUAGAAAACUUUCCACCAGCACAGCAGGCCUCAUUCAACUGAUUUCUUCUGAGAUUAUAUAAUACUAUGUGUCAAUAUUACUCAUUCAGUACUUAAUCCUGUAACAUUCAGCAACACCUUUUUUCAGUUAUUUUAUAUUCAAGAACUUUUUGUGCCCUUCUCCUAACUACAUAAUAAAAACUUUCAAAUCAAAGACCAUAUUGUUCUAUUUCUCAUCAUACUUACUAAGUACCUGAUUGUCUAGCAUAACACAUACAUUUAUUGACUGAGUGAGUGUAUGUUGCAGUAAGAGAUAACAUAAGAAAAACGCUCCACAGAAUAACACAAUAUCAUGCAGACAAAGAACUAAGAAAAACUCAAAAACAAUAAACAAUAAGCUACUACAUAUCUAAUCAGUUACUGUGCUAGGCAGGGAUACAGUGGUGUGCAAAAGUGAGCAAGGCCUCUGCUUCUGAGGAACUUAAAAUCCAAUGACAAAAAAAUAUAAUGAAUAAACAAUCAUGAGUAAAAUGUAGAAAUUAAAACUGUGAUAAGUGCUAUGAGGGAAAGGAAUCUGUACUUUAUGUUGUACAGUGGGACCUAACCUAACCUGUGGGUGAGGAGUGACUUUCCUGAGCAAGUACCAUUUGAUUUGACUCCUGCAGUAUGAGAAGAAGAUAAUUGGGUUUAGAUAAGGUGUUCACAUGCAAAUGUAAAGUUGUCACUGGAACCAAAGAGCAAGGUCGAUGAUGGUAGAAAAUAAAGCUGAGAAAAAGGUGUGACAGAGAGAGCUAACUGUCCAUCAAAAUCUGUUUUCAUUUUCAGAGUAAUAGCAUGUAGCUGCCCAUCCAGAGACUACAUUUCCCAGUCUCCUUUGCAUCCAAUGUGGCCAUGUGACUAGCUUCUCUCCAAAGAAAUGUGAGUAUAAGUGAUGUCCCCACAAUCUAGAGAGGAUUUCAAGGCAUCGGGUAUGGUUCCUCCACAGGCUCAUUCUCCAUUCUGUGAGCUUUAAUGGUGAGAGCAGUGUGAUGCUGGAAGCUGUUGUAAUCAAAAAGGUUGCACCACUCUCAGCCUGGGAUGCUCAAUGACAUCAUACACAUGAUCCUCUGCCAACCUGGAGGCCUUGUCCUGGAUUGUUACAUUAGAGAGGCAUAAACUUUCAUCUUUAAAUCACUGAAUUUUGGAGAGGUUUUUGCUUAAUUUGCUUAUCCUAAAUAAUGCUAGGGAGUUUGGCCUUUGUGCAAAAAAAAAAAAAAGAGAGAAAUCACUUAAAGAUUUUAAAGUGAGAGAUAUGUGAU